Molecule: non-coding RNA, 26 nt
Filed under: Mus musculus (house mouse)
Lineage: Eukaryota; Metazoa; Chordata; Mammalia; Rodentia; Muridae
Source: RNAcentral
UGGGUUCUUAGUAUUUAGGGAUUUUC